This is a long non-coding RNA of Symphalangus syndactylus (siamang), 10595 nucleotides long. RefSeq lists it as uncharacterized. The record is from RefSeq and is a predicted model, not a curated record. Lineage: Eukaryota; Metazoa; Chordata; Mammalia; Primates; Hylobatidae.
AUUUGCGUAUUUUGGAUAUGGCAUAUGAAUGGAAUCAUACAAUUUGUGUCUGAUCUCUCACUUAGAAUAAUGUUUUCAAGACCCAUUUAUGUUGUAGUUGUAUAUCAAUACUUUGUCCCUUUUUAUGACUGAACAAUAUUCUAUUAUGUGGAUAUACCAUCUUUUGUUUAUCCAUUCAUCUGUUGAUGGACAUUGAGGGUCAUCCUGUGUUUCACUAUUGUGGAUAGUGCUCCUAUGAACAUUCACGUACAAAUAUUUGUUUGAAUACAUGCUUUCAGUUGUUUUGGGUAUAUACCUAGGAGUGAAAUUGCUGGGUGAUAUGGUAAUUUUACAUUUAAUUUAUUGUGAAACUGACAGUUUUCCACAGCAGGGUGCUUUGCAAUCCAUAGGAAUUUUUAGUUAGCUUUUCUAUUUCUGCAAAAGAGUAUGUUGAGUUUUUGAUAAGUAUUGCACUGGGUAGGUAUUAGAGUGAGUGAUAACACUUUGGGGAGUGUUAUCUUAAUAUUAAAUCUUAAAAUCAAUGAACAUAAGAUUUUUUUUCCCCUAGGUGUUCUUUCCUUCAUUAAUGUUUUGUAGUUUUCAGUGUACAAGUGUUGCAUAUCCUUGCUUAAAUUUAUUAAAUAGUUUUUCAUUUAAAUGCUAUUGUAAAUUAUAUGAAAUUCAGACUUCAGUGUCUGAAGAUAACACUUUCUAUAAAGUUUUGUCGGGACUCAGCCAUACUCAUGUAUUUAUGUAUAGUCUGUGGGUACUUUCACACUAUGAGGACAGAGUUGACUAGUCGCAGUAGAGACUGUAAUGUCCCACAAGCCUAAAAUUUCUUUUGUUUAAAUGCUAUUGUAAGUGGAAUUGUUAAUUUGCCUUUUGACUGCUCAUUGUAAUGAGUACACAACUAAUUUUUGAGUGUUGAUCUUGUAUCUUGUAAUUUUGCUGAAUUUGUUUCCUACUUCUAGUAGUUUCUUUGUGGAUUCUUUAGUAUUUUCUGCAUAUAAGAUCAUGUAAUCUGCAAACAAAACUAUUUUAUUUCUUUCUUUCCAGUUUGGGUUUAUUUAUUUAUUUACUUAACCUAAUUGCUCUGGCUGGAAUUUUUAGUACAAUGUUGAAUAUAUGUGGCCAAAGCAGGCAUCUUUAUUUAUUGUUAGUUUUUUGUUUUAGCAGUCUUAACCAUUUUGGGAUGUACAGUUCAGAAGCAGUGUUAAGUAUAUUCAUAUUGUACAUCUGAUCACCACAACUUUUUCAUCUUGGGAACAUGAAAUUCUCUACCCAUUAAACAAUAACUCCCCAUUUUCCCCUCCUCCUUGCCCCUGGCGACCACCAUCCUACUUUCUGUUUCUAUGAGUUUCACUGUUUUUCCUAUAUCUCAUAUAAGUGAAAUCAUACAGUAUUUGUCUUAUUGUGACUGGCUUAUUUCACCUAGCAUAGUGUCCUCAAGCUUCCUCAGUGUUGUAGCAUGUGUCAGAAUUUAUCUCCUUUCUAAUGUUGAAUGAUAUUUCAUUGUACCGAUGUUUUGUUUAUUCAUUCAACUGUCAGUGGACAUUUGGGUUCCUUUCUCCUUUUAACUGUUGUGAAUAAUACUACUGUGAACAUGGGGUACAACUAUUCUUUGAGAUCCUUCUUUCAGUUCUUUUGGUUAUAUACUCAGAAGUGGUAUGGCUGGAACCUAUGGUAAUUCUAUUUUUAAUUUCUUGAGGAAACAUCGACCUGUUUUCUACAGGAAGUGCACCAUUUUGCAGUCCCAUCCUCAGUGUACAGGAUUCUGAUUUCUCCAUAUCCUUGCCAACACUCGUUAUUUUCUUUUGUUGUUUUGAUAGCAGCCAUUGUAAUGGGUGUAUGGUAAUUUUUCCUUGUGGUUUUGAUUUAUAUUUCCCUAAUGAUUAGUGAUGUUGAGCAUAUUUUCACAAGCUUGCUGACCAUUUAUGUAUCUUUUAUGGAGAAAUGUCUGUUCAAGUCCCUUGUCCAUCUUUGAAUCAGGUUAUUUUGUUUGUUUUGAGUUCUAGGGGUUCUUUAUAUAUUUUUUAUAGUAAUUUGUCAUCAGAUACAUGAAUUGCAAAUGUUUCCUCUUGUUGUGUUGGUUGUCUUUUCAUUCAGUUAACUGUGUCCUUUGAUGCACAAUUUUUAAGUUUGAUGUAGUCCAAUUUAUUUUUACUUCUGUUGCCUGUGGUUUUUGGUAUUAUAUCCGAGAAAACAUUGCCACACGAAUCCAUUCUCCUAUGUGUUCUGCCGUGAGUUUUGUAACUUUAGUUCUUAGAUUUAGGUCUUUGAUUCAUUUUGAGUUAAUUUUUUUUUGUAGUUUUGUUUUGCAUGUGGCUAUCCAGUUUUAUCAACACUAUUUGUUAGAAAAAUUGUCCUUUCCCUAUUGACUGUUCUUGAAAACUUUGUUGAAAAUCAUUUUACCACACAUGCAUGGGUUUUCAAGAUUAUUUUGGCUAGUUGAGAUCCCUUGAAAUUCCAUGUAAACUUCAGGAUGAUUUAUUUCUAUUUCUGUUACUAUGUCUCCUUUGUAAACUGACCUUUUUUUUUUUUUUAUCAAUAUGUAGUGUUUUCCUCUUGUAACAAUUUUUAAUUUAAAGUCUUUUUUAUUUCAGUAUAGCCACGCUGGUAUUCUUUAGGUUACUAUCCUCUUCUGUCAUUUCAGUUUCAACCUAUUGUGUUGUGUGUUUGUAUCUAAAGAGAGUGUCUUGUAGACAAUAUAUACCUGGAUCAUAUAUUUGUAUUUAUUUUGCCAAUUUCUUUUUAUUUUAUUUUAUUUUAUUUUUUUUGAGACAGAGUCUUACUGUGUUGCCCAGGCUGGAGUGCAGUGGUGCGAUCUUGACUCUCUGCAACCUCCGCCUCCAGGGUUCAAGCAGUUCUUCUGCCUCAGCCUCCCGAGUAGCUGGGAUUACAGGUGCACACCACUACACCUGGCUAAUUUUUUUUUUUUUUUUUUUUUUUUUUUUUUUUUUUUUUUUUUUUUUUUUUUUUUUUUUUUAAAAAUUUUUUUUUUAUUAUUUCAGUCUUUUAAAAUUUACUGAGAUUUAUUUUGUGCCCUAAUCUGUGGGCUUCCCUGUAGACUGUUUCUUGUGCACUUGAGAAUAAUGUAAUAUUCUGCUAUUGGUAGGUGGAGUAUUCCACAUACUUCUCUUAGGCCUACUUGGUUUAUACCAUUAUUCAAAUACUCUGUUUUCUUACUGAUCUUCUGUCUGGAUAUUCUAUCCAUUAAUGAAAGCAGAGUAAUGAAGUGUCCAACUGUUAUUACCAAACUCUGCAUUUCUUCAUUUAAAUCUGUCAAUGUUUGCUUUAUGUAUUUGGUUCUAUUUUCUUUGAUCCACAUAUGUUUGCAAUUGAUUUUUUUUAUUAACACUUUUCCAGUUGUAUAAUGUCCUUUGUCUCUUGUAACAGUUUUUUACUUAAAGUCUGCUUUUUUUGUUGUUGUUAUUUUUUGUUUUUGUGGUAUCAGUGUAGUUACCCAGCACUCUUUUGGUUAUUAUUUGCAUAAAUAUCUUUCUUUGUCCUUUCACAUUCAGCUUACUGGCUUUGGAUCUACAAUGAGUUUCUUGGAGACAGCUUAUGGUUAGAUCUUUUUAUUUUGUUCCCCUUAUUUUCUGUUUUUAAUUUUUAUGGAUACAUAGUGAGUAUAUAUAUUUAUGUGAUUUAUAUACAUGAGAUAAAAUAUCUCGAUAUAGGCCUACAAUGUGUAAAAUCACAUCAGAGUGAGUGGGGUGUCCAUCACCUCCAGCACUUAUCCUUUCUUUGUGUUACAAUCAAAUUAUACUCUUAAUUAUUUUAAAAUGUACAAUAAAUUAUUGUUGGGAUUUGCUGGCAAGAUGGCUGAAUAGGAACAGCUCUGAUCUGCAGCUCCCAGAGAGAUUGACGCAGAAUGCGGGUGAUUUCUGCAUUUUCAACUGAGGUACAUGGGUCGUCUCACUGGGACUGGUGGGACACUCAGUGCCGCCCAUGGAGGGUGAGCCGAAGCAGGAUGGGGCGUCGUCUCACCCAGGAAGUGCAACGGGUCUGGGAACUCCCUCUCCUAGCCAAGGAAAGACAUUAGGGACUGAGCCGUGAGAAAUGGUGCACUCUGGCCUAGAUACUGCACUUUCACACAGUCUUCACAACCUGCAGACCAGGAGAUUCCCUCUGGUGCCUAUGCCACCAGGGCCUGGGUUUCAGGCACAAAACUGGGCAGCCAUUUGGGCAGACACCAAGCUAGCUGCAGGAGUUUUUUUUUUUCAUACCCUAGUGGUGCCUGGAACACCAGUGAGACAGAACCAUUCGCUCCCCUGGAAAGGGGGCUGAAGCCAGGGAGCCAGUGGCCUGGCUCGGCAGGUCCUACCCCCACGGAGCCCAGCAAGCUAAGAUCCACUGGCUUGAAAUUCUCACUGCCAGCCUAGCAGUCUGAGCUCAACCUGGGAUACUCAAACCUGAUGGGAGGAGGGGCGUCUGCCAUUGCUGAGGCUUGAGUAGGCAGUUUUACCCUCAGUGUAAACAAAGCUGCCUGGAAGAUCGAACUGGGUGGAACGCACCACAGCUCAGCAAGGCUGAGACUGCCUCUCUAGAUUCUUCCUCUCUGGGCAGGGCAUCUCUGACAAAAAAGGCAGCAUCCCCAGUCAGGGGCUUAUAGAUAAAACCCCCCCAUCUCCUUGGGAUAGAGCACCUGGGGGAAGGGGCGGCUGUGGGCACAGUUUCAGCAGACUUAAAGGUUCCUUCCUGACGGCUCUGAAGAGAGCAGCAGAUCUCCCAGCACAGCAUUCAAGCUCUGCUAAAGGUCAGACUGCCUCCUCAAGUGGGUCACUGACCCCCAUGUCUCCUGACUGGGAGACACCUUCCAGUAGGGGCCGACAGACACCUCAUACAGGAGAGCUCCAGCUGGCCUCUGGCAGGUGCCCCUCUGGGACAAAGCUUCUAGAGGAAGGAACAGGCAGCAAUCUUUGCUGUUCGGCAGCCUCCACUGGUGAUAUCCAGGCAAACAGGGUCUGGAGUGGACCUCCAGCAAACUCCAGCAGACCUGCAGCAGAGGGGCCUGACUGUUAGAAGGAAAACUAACAAACAAAAAGGAAUAACAUCACCAUCAACAAAAAGGACAUCCACUCAGAGACCCCAUCUGAAGGUCACCAACAUCAAACACCAAAGGUAAAUAAAUCCAUGAAGAUGGGGAGAAACCAGUGCAAAAGACUGAAAAUUCCAAAAACCAGAAUGCCUCUUCUCCUCCAAAGGAUCACAACUCCUUGCCAGCAAGGGAACAAAACUUGAUGGAGAAUGAGUUUGACAAAUUGACAGAAGUAGGCUUCAGAAGGUGGGUAAUAAUAACUAACUACUCCACGCUAAAGGAGCAUGUUCUAUCCCAAUGCAAGGAAGCUAAGAACAUUGAAAAAAGGUUAGAUGUAUUGCUAACUAGAAUAACUUGUUUAGAGAAGAACAUAAAUCACCUGAUGGAGCUGAAAAACACAGCACGAGAACUUCAUGAAGCAUACACAAGUAUCAAUAGCUGACUCGAUCAAGCGGAAGAAAGGAUAUAAGAGAUUUAAGAUCAGAUUAAUGAAAUAAAGUGAGAAGACAAGAUUACAGAAAAAAGAACGAAAAGGAAUGAACAAAGUUUCCAAGAAAUACAGGGCUAUGUGAAAAGACCAAAUCUAUGUUUGAUUGGUGUACCUGAAAGUGAUGAGGAGAAUGGAAACAAGUUGAAAAACACUCUGAAGGAUAUUAUCCAGGAGAACUUUCCCAACCUAGCAAGAGAGGCCAACAUUCAAAUUCAGGAAAUACAGAGAAUACCACAAAGAUACUCCUUAAAAAGAGCAACUCCAAGACACAUAAUCAUCAGACUCAGCAAGGUUGAAAUGAAGGAAAAAAUUUUAAGAGCAGCGAGAGAGUAAGGUCAGUUCACCCACAAAAAAGGGAAGCCCAUCAGACUAACAGCAGAUCUCCCUGCAGAAACCCUACAAGCCAGAAGAGAGUGGGUGCCAAUAUUCAACAUUCUUAAAGAAAAUAAUUUUCAACUCAGAAUUUCAUAUCCAGCCAAACUAAGCUUCAUAAGUGAAGGGGAAAUAAAAUCCUUUACAGACAAGCAAAUUCUGAGAGAUUUUGUCACCACCAGGCCUGCCUUACUAGAGUUCCUGAAGGAAGCACUAAACAUGGAAAGGAACAACCAGUACCAGCCACUGCAACAACAUACCAAAUUAUAAAGACCAUUGACACUAUGAAAAAACUGCAUCAACUAAUGGGCAAAAUAACCAGCUAGCAUCAUAAUGACAGGAUCAAAUUCACAUAUAACAAUAUUAACCUUAAGUGUAAACGGGCUAAAUGCCCCAAUUAAAAGACACGGACUGGCAAAUUGGAUAAAGAGUCAACACCCAUCAGUGUGCUGUAUUCAGGAGACCCAUCUCAUGUGCAAAGACACACAUCAAAAAAAAGGGAUGGAGGAAUAUUUACCAAGCAAAUGGAAAGCUAAAAAAGCAGGGGUUACAAUCUUAGUCUCUGAUAAAACAGACUUUAAACCAAUGAAGAUCAAAAGAGACAAGAGCAUUACAUAAUGGUAAAGAGAUCAAUGCAACAAGAAGAGCUAACUAUCCUAAAUAUAUAUGCACUCAAUACAGGAGCACCCAGAUUCAUAAAGCAAGUUCUUAGAGACCUACAAAGACACUUAGACUCCCACACAAUAAUAGUGGGAGACUUUAACACCCCACUGUCAAUAUUAGUUCAACAAGACAGAAAAUUAACAAGGUUAUUCAGAACUUUAACUCAGCUCUGGACCAAGCAGACCUAAUAGACAUCUAAAGAACUCUCCCACCCAAAUCAACAGAAUAUGUAUUCUUCUCAGCACCACAACACAUUUAUUCUAAAAUUGACCACAUAAUUGGAAGUAAAACACUCCUCAGCAAAUGCAAAAGAAUGGAAAUCAUAACAAUCUCUCAGAACACAGUGCAAUGAAAUUAGAUAUCAGGAUUAGGAAACUCACUCAAAACUGCACAAUUACAUGAAAACUGAACAACCUGCUCCUGAAUGACUGCUGGGUAAAUAACGAAAUUAAGGCAGAAAUAAAGAAGUUAUUUAAAACCAAUGAGAACAAAGACAUAACAUACCAGAAUCUCUGGGACACAUUUAAAGUAGUGUCUAGAGGGAAAUUUGUAGCACUAAAUGUCCACAACAAGAAAGGAGGAAAGACGUAAAAUAGACACCCUAACAUCACAAUUAAAAGAACUAGAGAAGCAAGAGCAAACAAAUUCAAAAGCUGGCAGAAGAUAAGAAAUAACUAAGAUCAGAGCAGAACUGAUGGAGAUAGAGAUACAAAAAACCCUUCAAAAAAUCAAUGAAUCCAGGAGCUGUUUUUUUGAAAAGAUCAACAAAAUAGAAUAGCCAGAAGAAUAAAUAAGAAAAGAGAGAAGAAUCAAAUAGAUGCAAUAAAAAAUGAUAAAAGGACUGUCACUACUGAUCCCACAGAAAUACAAACUACCAUCAGAUAAUACUAUAAACACCUCUAUGCAAAUAAACUGGAAAAUCUGAAGAAAUGGAUAGAUUCCUGGACACCAUACACCCUCCCAAGUCUAAAGCACGAAGAAGUCAAAUCCCUGAAUAGACCAAUAACAAGUUCUGAAAAUGAGGAAAUAAUAGCCUACCAACCAAAAAAAGGUCUAGGACCAGACGGAUUCACAGCCAGAUACUACCAGAGGUACAAAGAGGAGAAGAUACCAUUCCUCUGAAACUAUUCCAAGUAAUAGAAAAAGAGAGAAUCCACUCUAACUAAUUUUAUGAGGCCAACAUCAUCCUGAUACCAAAACCUUGGAGGGACACAACAGAAAAAGAAAAUUUCAGGCCAAUAUCCCUGAUGAACAUCUAUGCAAAAAUCCUCAAUAAAAUACUGUCAAACCAAAUCCAGCAGCACAUCAAAAAGCUUAUCCACCACAAUCAAGUCGGCUUCAUCCCUGGGAUGCAGGGCUGGUUCAAUAUAGGCAAAUCAAUAAACAUAAUCCAUCACAUACACAGAACCAAUGAAAAAAACCACAUGAUUAUCUCAAUAGGUGCAGAAAACGCCUUUGACAAAAUUAAACACCUUUUCAUGCUAAAAACUCUCAAUAAACUACGUAUUGAUGGAAUGUAUCUCAAAAUAAUAAGAGCUAUUUAUGACAAACCCACAGCCAAUAUACUGAAUGGGCAAAAACUGGAAGCAUUCCCUUUGAAAACCAGCACAAGACAAGGAUGCCCUCUCUUACUACUCCUAUUCAACAUAAUAUUGGAAGUUCUGGCCAAGGCAUUCAGGCAAGAGAAAGAAAUAAAGGGUAUUCAUAUGGGAAAAGAGGAAGUCAAAUUGUCUCUGUUUGCAGAUGACAUGAUUGUAUAUUUAGAAAACUCCAUCGUGUCAGCCCAAAAUCUCCUAAAGCUGAUAAGCAACUUCAGAAAUGUCUCAGGAUACAAAAUCAUUGUGCAAAAAUCACAACCAUUCCUAUACACCAAUAAUAGACAAACAGCCAAAUCAUGAGUGAACUCCCAUUCACAAUUUCUACAAACAAAAUUAAAUACCUAGGAAUACAACUUACAUGGGAUGUGAAGGACCUCUUCAAGGAGAACUACAAACCGCUGCUCAAGGAAAUAAGAGAGGACACAAACAAAUAGAAAAACAUUCCAUGCUUAUGGAUAGGAAGAAUCAGUAUUGUGAAAAUGGGCAUACUGCAGAGUAAUUUAUAGGUUCAAUGCUAUCCCCAUCAAGUUACCAUUAACAAUCUUCACAGAAUUAGAAAAAACUACUUUAAAUUUCAUAUGGAACCAAAAAAGAGCCCAGAUAGCCAAGACAAUUCUAAGCAAAAAGAACAAAGCUGGAGGCAUCACACUACCUGACUUCAAACUACAAUGCUACAGUAACCAAAACAGCAUGAUACUGGUACCAAAACAGAUAUAUAGAUCAAUGGAACAGAACAGAGGCCUCGGAAAUAACACCACAUGUCUACAACCAUCUGAUCUUUGACAGACCUGACAAAAACAAGCAAUGGGAAAUGGAUUCCCUAUUUAAUAAAUGAUGUUGGGAAAGCUGGCUAGCCAUAUGCAGAAAACUGAAACUGGACCCUUUCCUUACACCUUAUACAAAAAUUAACUCAAGAUGGAUUAAAGACUUAAAUGUAAGACCUAAAACUGUAAAAACUCUAGAAGAAAACCUAGGCAAUGCCAUUCAGGACAUAGGCGUGGGCAAAGACUUCAUGACUAAAACACCAAAAGCAAUGGCAACAAGAGCCAAAAUUGACAAAUGGGAUCUAAUUAAAGAGCUUCUGCACAGCAAAAGAAACUAUCAUCAGAGUGAACAGGCAACCUACAGAAUGAGAGAAAAUUUUUGCAAUCUGUCCAUCUGACGUAGGGUUAAUAUCCAGAAUCUACAAAGGACUUAAACAGAUUUACAAGAAAAAAACAACCCCAUCAAAAAGUGGGUGAAGGAUAUGAACAGACACUUCUCAAAAGACAUUUAUGCAGCCAACAAACAUGAAAAAAAGCUCAUCAUCGCUGGUGAUUAGAGAAAUGCAAAUCAAAACCACAGUGAGAUACCACCUCAUACCAUUUAGAAUGGCAAGCAUUAAAAAGUCAGGAAACAACAGAUGCUGGAGAGGAUGUGGAGAAAUAGGAAUGAUUUUAUACUGUUGUUGGGAGUGUAAAUUAGUUCAACUAUCGUGGAAGACAGUGUGGUGAUUCCUCAAGGAUCUAGAACUAGAAAUACCAUUUGACCUAGCAAUCCCAUUACUAGGUAUAUACCCAAAGGAUUAUAAAUCAUUCUACUAUACGGACACUUGCAUAUGUGUGUUUUUUGUGGCACUAUUCACAAUAGCAAAGACUUGGAACGAACGUAAAUGCCCAUCAAUGAUAGACUGGUUAAAGAAAAUGUGGUACAUAUGCACCAUGGAAUACUAUGCAGCCAUAAAAAAGGAUGAGUUCAUGUCCUUUGCCAGGACGUGGAUGAAACUGGAAACCAUCAUUCUCAGCAAACUAACACAACAGAAAACCAAACAUUGCAUGUUCUCACUCAUAAGUGGGAGUUGGACAAUGAGAACACAUGGACACAGGAAGGGGAACAUCUCACACCAGGGCCUGUCAUAGGGUGGUGGAGUAGGGGAGAGAUAGCAUUAGGAGAAAUACCUUAUGUAGAUGAUGGGUUGAUGGGUGCAGCAAACCACCAUGGCACAUGUAUACCUAUGUAACAAACCUGCAUGUUCUGUAAGUGUACCCCAGAACUUAAAGUAUAAUAAAAAAAAAUUGUCGACUAUAGUCACCCUGUUGUACAUCAAAUACUCGAUCUUAUUCAUUCUAAUUACAUUUUUGUAUGCAUUAUUUGAAGAAAUUUAUCCACUCUGCCAAUCUCUGCCAUUUUUCUUAUUUAUUUAAUCCUAAUUUCUCUUUUAAGACCAAAUGCAGAUGAAAAAUUGGCUUAUAAUCUUUUAACAGUUCCCUUGUUUGUCGUGCAUCACAUUUCAACCCAAAGGAUUCCCUUUAGCAUUCCUUGCAGAGUAGAUCUAGUAAAAACAUACUCCCUUAGCUUGUGUUCAUCUGGGAAUGUCGUCAUUAUUGACAGGCAUGUUUGCCGGGCAUAGAAUUCUCAGCUGACAGCUUUUUCUUUCAGCACUUUGAAUAUAUCAAUCCAGUGCCUUCUAAUC